Molecule: ribosomal RNA, 365 nt
Filed under: uncultured eukaryote
Lineage: Eukaryota
Description: SSU rRNA
Rfam family: Eukaryotic small subunit ribosomal RNA
Source: RNAcentral
GUUAAAAGCUCGUAGUCGGAUUUCGGGGCGGGGCGACCGGUCUGCCGAUGGGUAUGCUUUGGUCGGCGCGUCCUUCUUUCCGGAGACCGUUUCUACUCUUAACUGAGCGGGGGCGGGAGACGGAUCGUUUACUUUGAAAAAAUCAGAGUGUUUCAAGCAGGCAGCUCGCUCUUGCAUGGAUUAGCAUGGGAUAAUGAAAUAGGACUUUGGUGCUAUUUUGUUGGUUUCGAACACCGAAGUAAUGAUUAACAGGGACAGUCAGGGGCACUCGUAUUCCGUCGAGAGAGGUGAAAUUCUCAGACCAAUGGAAGACGAACCACUGCGAAAGCAUUUGCCAGGGUAUGUUUUCACUGAUCAAGAACGAA